Long non-coding RNA from Mercenaria mercenaria, 2051 nucleotides. RefSeq lists it as uncharacterized. NCBI's taxonomy places the organism in Eukaryota, Metazoa, Mollusca, Bivalvia, Venerida, Veneridae. The record is from RefSeq and is a predicted model, not a curated record. The transcript is spliced from 3 exons.
GUAAUUUACAUCCUUUUUUAAUUAAUAAAAGGCUAUGUUUAGAGAAGCCUCACCCUGUAUUACCUUUACAGGUGAGUUUAACGCCGACUGACAGUACAAUGAGUUGUAUUUAGUACAAGUUCGCCGUGCAGUUCAGCCUUCUUUAGAUAGGUUUUGCUACAAAAUAAAAUAAAAGGGGAAAACAUCGUUCUGAAUUUUAUGAAUUAUACCGUAAGAGGUGUUUUGUCAUGCCACGGUAAUAAUUCCUUCUCCUUCUAAGUGCUUUUUUUGGCGGCCAUAAAACGUCUUUACGUGCUUGGACUCGGUGUUUUUGUUAUUUUCUUAUAAUUUGGGAUCGUGUUGUUAAUUCAGAGUUAUUAUAUGGUACAGAUCAGUGGUGUUGCACUUUUCAUUACUUCUAGUGGACAGACUCAGCUAUAGGUUUAAAAUUGUUGUUUCGCAUAAUAGGCUCACUAUAUUAAUGAUUCUUGUUAUUAAACUAGUAUUGGGUAAAUAGCAUACUGUCUUAUAAAAAGAAAUACAAUGAAAAACAGAUGCUGCAAAAUUAAACGAUUUUCAGAAUUGUGGGGAUCAGAUACAAAUCAAAAACCACAGAAUCAUCGAGAUUCGAGGUAAUUACUAUACAUGUGUAAGAUAACACUCCAUAUAAAAUUAGUCACAUCUCAAACGACCCAUUAAGGGUUAUUCAUUUUUGUAAAAUACCUUGUACGGAUAUAAUAUGGUAAUUUUACGUGAAUCAACCGACCGUGAUUAAACGUCAUUCAUUUAUUUAUUUAUUUCAUUUAUUGCAUAUAGGUCAGUAAAAAGUACACGGAACUUACUGGGAAUAACGUCAUGCAAAUAAGAUGCGAAUGUUUGGCUACAUCUAGAUCCAUAAAUUUUGUGGGCCAGUAUUUGUGGAGGCAGAUUUGAACGAAUUAGGUGUUUUCUACAGCAAAACGGACAGAUAGUGGUCGUUUACACGUCGUCAAACACCAAUGAAAAGAGACCUUGGAAGACGUCGACAAAUGGCUGGCUCCAACAGAAACAAAUACGGAUUGCAGAAAACCCAAAAUCGCCCUCAUAAGAAUAUAGACGACAAUAGAAACCUAGAUGUAAACAUAAAGACAAAUCACAAAACAAACAUACAAGGAUAAAUAUCUAAUAAGAAAAAUCAAAUACUUAGACCGCAGCCUUCUGGAAAUGCGGACCAAAAGCAUUGAUGUAUGCUACAAGACAAAUACGUAACAAAGAACAUUGAACUGGUUAAAGUUGUAGUCAAUAGUAAUGUGGCCGAGAAAGAAACGACACAGCGAAAAGAGAAUGAUUUCAUUGCCAAAAUGUACUUUCAUGUGAAACAGACUUCCACUGCUUUUUUACCCAUUUGUUAUCACACACUAACUGUGGAACUAUAACUGUAAAAGACGUUCAAUACAAUAUGAAAGAUAGAUCAUUAUAAUUUUGUAUACACUCGUAUUCAGUUGUUCAUUUAAAGUCGAUAGAUGAAGAAAAUACCAUUUGUGUCCGAAGAAUAGACAAUAGAAGGACACUUUUACUGUUUAUCGGAGUAUUGUUUUUCACUGAAGUUCUGGCAGCUUGUUGCUAGGAUUAAAUGGUUGGCUGUUGAAACAGAUAACUGCUAGUCUAGCAGUGUUACAGUGUAUUUCCUAGCAACCAGCUGUUAUUACUUUUACCUUCAUAUAUUUUUACAGUGCAUUUCAUUUGUCACACGGCCCUAAGUCAUUAUGGAAGCAGUACACUAUCUUUGGUGUAACUUCAAAGAACUGACCAUUUACACCAACAAAAAGGCAUAGAAAGGAAGCGGCUGGAAACUGAAGUCUUGAGGUAACCGUUUGUGUCAUUUUACAAACUUGACAAAUGAAAUGACCAUUUAUUGUUAAUAUUAACAGAUAAAAUGUUUUACGGUUAGUCCAGGAUUACAACUCUAUAAAUUCUAAAAAAAGUUGCUAUUUUCACAUGCUUUUCUCGCUAUUGUGAUCUAAUCAAUUGUAAAAAGCUAAAAUUACUUGUAUUUUAUAUAUUUAAUCCUUGUAUAGCCUCAGUAGUUGAUA